RNAcentral lists this non-coding RNA (480 nucleotides) under Pongo abelii (Sumatran orangutan). Lineage: Eukaryota; Metazoa; Chordata; Mammalia; Primates; Hominidae. The record is from RNAcentral.
GGUUCCCGCUCGCGCCUCUCCGUCCACACCGCCCUGCAAGCUGAGGGAGUGGGUUCCGGCCUUGGCCAGCCCAGAAAGGGGCUCCCACAGUGCAGCGGUGGGCUGAAGGGCACCUCAAGUGCCGCGGAAGUGGGAGCCCAGGCAGAGGAGUCGCCGAGAGCGAGCGCGGGCUGUGAGGACUGCCGGCACGCUGUCACCUCUCAAUAACGCCCAUCCCAAUGUGUCCUGAGGAAUAAUUUUGGUCGUGUUCCUGGUACUCAGCCUUUCGUGGUUCCUGGUCAUUUUCAGAGUCUAACAUUCCAGCUUUUCCGGAAAUUCUAUACUUUGAUGUAAAAGUUUUCAAAGAAAUGCUUUGGGCAGAAGAGACUCAUGGAAACUGGACACUAUAUCUGGAGCCAGGAAUAAUAGGAUCUGAGAAACAGUAACAAGUGUAAAACAAACUGGUCUUGAACUCCUGGCCUCAAGUAAUCCUCCCCACUG